RNAcentral lists this transfer RNA (71 nucleotides) under Sphaerodactylus townsendi. Its description in RNAcentral is "tRNA-Ala". Lineage: Eukaryota; Metazoa; Chordata; Lepidosauria; Squamata; Sphaerodactylidae. The record is from RNAcentral.
GUGCUGUGGCUCAAUGGCACAGCAUCUGCUUGGCAUACACAAGGUCCCAGGUUCAAACCCCAGUGGCUCCA